RNAcentral lists this ribosomal RNA (250 nucleotides) under uncultured bacterium. RNAcentral describes it as "partial 16S ribosomal RNA". It matches the Rfam family "Bacterial small subunit ribosomal RNA", at positions 524 to 773 of the family's 1533-position model. The record is from RNAcentral.
GACGUAGGAUGCAAGCGUUGUCCGGAAUUAUUGGGCGUAAAGAGUUCGUAGGCGGUUAUCUAAGUCUGGUGUUAAAGACGGGAGCUCAACUCCCGCAUGGCAUUGGAAACUGGGUGACUAGAGUGCGGUAGAGGUAUCGGGAAUUCCAGGUGUAGCGGUGAAAUGCGUAGAUAUCUGGAGGAACACCAGUGGCGAAAGCGCGAUACUGGGCCGUAACUGACGCUGAGGAACGAAAGCCAGGGGAGCAAAA